RNAcentral lists this ribosomal RNA (191 nucleotides) under endophyte SA2. RNAcentral describes it as "partial small subunit ribosomal RNA". It matches the Rfam family "Eukaryotic small subunit ribosomal RNA", at positions 34 to 228 of the family's 1831-position model. The record is from RNAcentral. Lineage: Eukaryota; Fungi; Ascomycota.
GUCUCAAAGAUUAAGCCAUGCAUGUCUAAGUAUAAGCAACUAUACGGUGAAAUUGCGAAUGGCUCAUUAAAUCAGUUAUCGUUUAUUUGAUAGUACCUUACUACAUGGAUAACCGUGGUAAUUCUAGAGCUAAUACAUGCUAAAAACCUGCACUUCGGAAGGGGUGUAUUUAUUAGAUAAAAAACCAAUGC